Molecule: transfer RNA, 65 nt
Filed under: Pseudoroegneria spicata
Lineage: Eukaryota; Viridiplantae; Streptophyta; Magnoliopsida; Poales; Poaceae
Description: partial tRNA-Ser
Rfam family: tRNA
About the family: Transfer RNA (tRNA) molecules are approximately 80 nucleotides in length. Their secondary structure includes four short double-helical elements and three loops (D, anti-codon, and T loops).
Source: RNAcentral
GGAGAGAUGGCUGAGUGGUUGAUAGCUCCGGUCUUGAAAACCGGUAUAGUUCUAGGAACUAUCGA